Molecule: ribosomal RNA, 490 nt
Filed under: uncultured bacterium
Lineage: Bacteria
Description: partial 16S ribosomal RNA
Rfam family: Bacterial small subunit ribosomal RNA
Source: RNAcentral
AUUGAACGCUGGCGGCAGGCCUAACACAUGCAAGUCGAACGGUAACAGGAAGAAGCUUGCUUCUUUGCUGACGAGUGGCGGACGGGUGAGUAAUGUCUGGGAAACUGCCUGAUGGAGGGGGGUAACUACUGGAAACGGUAGCUAAUACCGCAUAACGUCGCAAGACCAAAGAGGGGGACCUUCGGGCCUCUUGCCAUCGGAUGUGCCCAGAUGGGAUUAGCUAGUAGGUGGGGUAACGGCUCACCUAGGCGACGAUCCCUAGCUGGUCUGAGAGGAUGACCAGCCACACUGGAACUGAGACACGGUCCAGACUCCUACGGGAGGCAGCAGUGGGGAAUAUUGCACAAUGGGCGCAAGCCUGAUGCAGCCAUGCCGCGUGUAUGAAGAAGGCCUUCGGGUUGUAAAGUACUUUCAGCGGGGAGGAAGGGAGUAAAGUUAAUACCUUUGCUCAUUGACGUUACCCGCAGAAGAAGCACCGGCUAACUCCGUG